This 842-nucleotide ribosomal RNA is filed under the name Agaricus dolichocaulis. Its description in RNAcentral is "partial large subunit ribosomal RNA". It matches the Rfam family "Eukaryotic large subunit ribosomal RNA", at positions 54 to 883 of the family's 3401-position model. Lineage: Eukaryota; Fungi; Basidiomycota; Agaricomycetes; Agaricales; Agaricaceae. The record is from RNAcentral.
AGGAAAAGAAACUAACAAGGAUUCCCCUAGUAACUGCGAGUGAAGCGGGAAAAGCUCAAAUUUAAAAUCUGGCGGUCUCUGGCCGUCCGAGUUGUAAUCUAGAGAAGUAAUGCCCGUGCUGGACCGUGUAUAAGUCUCCUGGGAUGGGGCGUCAUAGAGGGUGAGAAUCCCGUCUUUGACACGGACUACCAGUGCAUUGUGGUAUGCUCUCAAAGAGUCGAGUUGUUUGGGAAUGCAGCUCAAAAUGGGUGGUAAAUUCCAUCUAAAGCUAAAUAUUGGCGAGAGACCGAUAGCGAACAAGUACCGUGAGGGAAAGAUGAAAAGAACUUUGGAAAGAGAGUUAAACAGUACGUGAAAUUGCUGAAAGGGAAACGCUUGAAGUCAGUCGCGUUGGCCGGGGAUCAGCCUUGCUUUUGCAUGGUGUACUUUCUGGUUGACGGGUCAGCAUCAAUUUUGACCGCUGGAAAAAGACCUGGGGAAUGUGGCAGCUUCGGCUGUGUUAUAGCCCCUAGUCGCAUACAGUGGUUGGGAUUGAGGAACUCAGCACGCCGCAAGGCCGGGUUUCGACCACGUUCGUGCUUAGGAUGCUGGCAUAAUGGCUUUAAGCGACCCGUCUUGAAACACGGACCAAGGAGUCUAACAUGCCUGCGAGUAUUUGGGUGGAAAACCCAAGUGCGUAAUGAAAGUGAAAGUUGAGAUCCCUGUCGUGGGGAGCAUCGACGCCCGGACCAGAACUUUUGGGACGGAUCCGCGGUGGAGCAUGUAUGUUGGGACCCGAAAGAUGGUGAACUAUGCCUGAAUAGGGUGAAGCCAGAGGAAACUCUGGUGGAGGCUCGUAGCGA